RNAcentral lists this ribosomal RNA (253 nucleotides) under uncultured bacterium. RNAcentral describes it as "partial 16S ribosomal RNA". It matches the Rfam family "Bacterial small subunit ribosomal RNA", at positions 524 to 776 of the family's 1533-position model. The record is from RNAcentral.
UACGUAGGGUGCAAGCGUUGUCCGGAAUUAUUGGGCGUAAAGAGCUCGUAGGCGGUUUGUCGCGUCUGCUGUGAAAUCCCGAGGCUCAACCUCGGGCCUGCAGUGGGUACGGGCAGACUAGAGUGCGGUAGGGGAGAUUGGUAUUCCUGGUGUAGCGGUGGAAUGCGCAGAUAUCAGGAGGAACACCGAUGGCGAAGGCAGAUCUCUGGGCCGUAACUGACGCUGAGGAGCGAAAGCGUGGGGAGCGAACAGG